This is a long non-coding RNA of Epinephelus moara (kelp grouper), 1208 nucleotides long. RefSeq lists it as uncharacterized. The record is from RefSeq and is a predicted model, not a curated record. The transcript is spliced from 3 exons. Lineage: Eukaryota; Metazoa; Chordata; Actinopteri; Perciformes; Serranidae.
AAAGGAUACUGAGCAGGUGGAAUCAAGAGAGCAUCGCUACUUCAGUGAAGACAACUCAACAACUGAAAUAAUCUCAAAGCACCUUCCAUGAUGUUCAUGAAGAUCUGUGUCAUUCUUCUUCUGUGUGCUGUCUCAGGCAACACACAAACAACCACAGCUGCUGCAGGAACAACCACAGCUGCUGCAACAACCACAGCUGCCGCAGCAACAACCUCAGCUGCAGCAGCAACAACCACAGCUGCCACAGGAACAACCACAGCUACACCAGCAACAACCACAGCUGCCCCAGGAACAACCACAGCUGCCACAGGAACAACCACAGCUGCCACAGGAACAACCACAGCUGCCACAGGUACAACCACAGCUGCCCCAGGAACAACCACAGUUGCUGCAGCAACAGCAGCAGGAACAACCACAGGUGCUGCAGCAACAGCAGCAGGAGCAACCACAGCGCCACCAGCAGCAGCAGCACCAGAGCCAACAACUGCUGCCUCCUCUGCAGUUGUUAACAAAACAAGUUUCCUUUUUGUCAUUGCAGUUGUUACAGCACUAAUCUGGAAUUAAUAACCUGAUUUGAAGAAAGGACAAAAUACCAUAUUUAGACAGUAUUUAUACUAUGUAUUUAUAAUGGAGAGACUGAAGGAUUUCACUUAAUUUAUUGUCAUUAUUUAUCAUGUACCUGUGACUUCAUAUUAUUUAUCUGAAAUUAUACUAUGCUGUAACUGACUUGUGUUCCUUACACACGCAGAACUCAGUUUAUGAUGACAGAUGUUAUGUCAUGCUGGCAAACCUGAUAUUUAUUCUCUUGUCAUGAGACAAUACAUACAACUUUUAGUAACUAAUGUUAACAUUGACACGGAGCCAUAUGAGCCAUACAGUAGGUAGAUACAACCACAUGAUCAACUCUAACAUCAAUUAUCAUCAGAAAUACUGAGCAUCCAGAAUUCAGGUUUUUUGUAUGUAUUGGUUUGAAUAACACUGUAAGGAUUCCACCUGAUGGAAACACUGUGCUGCACGCUGUGGUGACUGCUCUGCUGUCUGUAUUUGGAUAUGCAUGUUAAUAUGCCAUAUGAAGUAUUUAAAGUAUUGAAGUGUGAAAUGCAAAGAACCACAAUGUAUUUUUUGCACACCAACACACUUUAAAUAAGUGAAUUAAUCAUUAUAGGAAAAGUAAACCACAAAUGAAGUUUAUUUAUUGAUAUCAUGCU